CCUACGGGAGCCACCAUGGGGAAUUUUUCGCCAUGGACGAAAGUCCUGCGGCACAACUCCGCCUGAGUGGAGGCAGGCUUCCGGUUGUUAAACUCUUUUAAUCGGGACGAAAGGCCUUCUUGCGAACACUUAGAAGGAAUGACGGUACCGGAAGAGUAAGCCACGGCUAACUACGUGCCAGCAGCCGCGGUAAU
Molecule: ribosomal RNA, 194 nt
Filed under: uncultured bacterium
Lineage: Bacteria
Description: partial 16S ribosomal RNA
Rfam family: Bacterial small subunit ribosomal RNA
Source: RNAcentral